Molecule: ribosomal RNA, 202 nt
Filed under: uncultured bacterium
Lineage: Bacteria
Description: partial 16S ribosomal RNA
Rfam family: Bacterial small subunit ribosomal RNA
Source: RNAcentral
UACAGAGGGUGCAAGCGUUAAUCGGAAUUUACUGGGCGUAAAGCGUGCGUAGACGGUUUAUUUAAGUCAGGUGUGAAAGCCCCGGGCUCAACCUGGGAAUUGCAUUUGAGACUGAAUAGCUAGGGUGCGGAAGAGGGAAGCGGAAUUUCCGGUGUAGCGGUGAAAUGCGUAGAUAUCGGAAGGAACACCAGUGGCGAAGGCG